This 442-nucleotide long non-coding RNA is filed under the name Struthio camelus australis. Its description in RNAcentral is "lncRNA (ENSSCUG00000006598.1)". The record is from RNAcentral. Lineage: Eukaryota; Metazoa; Chordata; Aves; Struthioniformes; Struthionidae.
UCACGACAACCAUGCAGAUACUAUUGACUUGCAUAAACAACCUACACUGACAUGGAUCAAGACAUUUAAAACAAACUUUUCAAGCAGUCAAUGGAGUACAAACUGAUUGUGCUGCAAAGAAAAUCGAGCUGUGCAGUUUCUGGUUCAUUCAGCCCCUGGAGGAAUAAAUAUUCUGAAAGUCAGAUUCUGUCCUUAUUUGCAUUCCACUGAUACUCUCUGGUGAGGGUGAGGAAACUAAGGCACACCGUGGUGGUUAGAAAAGAAACAGGUGAGGAUCUACUUUAUAUUCACAUUGCUAUGUUGAUCCUGCAUUGCUACAGGAUCUUAGGGACUGCUGCACUCAUUUAAACCAGUGACCUGAGUGACCAGUGAUAUCCUGAUUUUCUGCGGAGCACCUCAUGUUAGUACUGUUUCACGUUUCAGUCACAUGUAGAGACAGAGG